AGUACGUCAACAUGAUCGGUCUGUUAAAGAAUUGAUACUAUGAUUUGAUCUUGUCGACCAAGCUUGCUGGACUUGGCCAUGCGGCAUUCCUGUUCAUGGCAUCUGCUCGGGACAAAGUAAGCUACGUGUACCCUAAUGUCAAUGCAGCAGGCGCAGGCAUGCUGCUCACAGAGACCUUCACUUCUCCAACCAUGAACCUCUCCGAACGUGGAUACCACAUGUACGAUGAAAUGGAGGAAUGGUUAGGAAUGA
Molecule: long non-coding RNA, 252 nt
Organism: Zingiber officinale
Lineage: Eukaryota; Viridiplantae; Streptophyta; Magnoliopsida; Zingiberales; Zingiberaceae
Exons: 3
Source: RefSeq, a predicted model, not a curated record